AUAACGCAGCCUUUAGCUUACUUCAAACAUUCAACAAACCGAGAAAAUAAAAUAUAAGAGGCCUAGAACUGACCUAAUUGCAGAUAAAGAAAUGAUGAGUUAGAGGUGAAUUCACCAAAUGGACUAACCAAAUAAGCUUAGAAGCAGGAAAUAAAGCUCAGACAAGAAUUUCCAACAACAAUCGGCAGCGAAAAAUCAGCAAACUCCAAACACCGAAAUUGGAUAAAACGGCAACAAAAGCAGAAGGAAGAACAACAAAAUAUAAUCAACUUCUUCAACUCAG
This 283-nucleotide long non-coding RNA is filed under the name Nicotiana benthamiana. RNAcentral's name for it is "long non-coding RNA (NBEN_LNC021263)". The record is from RNAcentral. Lineage: Eukaryota; Viridiplantae; Streptophyta; Magnoliopsida; Solanales; Solanaceae.